Capra hircus (goat) is the source of this 176-nucleotide long non-coding RNA. RefSeq lists it as uncharacterized. Lineage: Eukaryota; Metazoa; Chordata; Mammalia; Artiodactyla; Bovidae. The record is from RefSeq and is a predicted model, not a curated record. The transcript has 3 exons.
AAUUCAUCAGAGGCCUCCCAGACCACCUGCUCUCCGCAUCCUGCAAACAGCUGGCUCCGGGAUGAUUAAUCAACAAUUCAAGCAAACCUGUGGGAACCCAAGGGCCUUCUAGGCAACAUUUAAGCACAAGGAUAUAACGCAAAAUCAGCAAAGGGAAAAAGAACAUAAAGUCUAAG